UGAGAGAGAGAGAGAGAGAGAGAGAGAGAGAGAGCAAUGGAGAGAGAAGUGGUAGUUGUGGAAUGUGAGAUGGAUCGGCAACCCGGAAUCCCUGACUCGGUCGCCACUCGGUCGGACGACGUCGCUUUGGUGGUGUUUGAUUCCGCCGCUCCUCCUCCUCCUCCUCCAAUCCCACCUUCAGGGGACAAGGUACGUAUUUAUUACCCUUACACACACACCUUCAGGAGACAAGAUACGUAUUUAUUACCCUUACACACACAUACACCACACACACACCUUCAGAAGGCAAGGUACGUAUUUAUUACCCUCACAAACACCACACCACACCAUACACCGCACACACUAUACAACUAUGUAUCCAUACGUAUAUAUUCAUAUGUACGUAUCGAAAUUUUGUACUUCUCUCCAAUUUAUAUUGGACUGGACCCGUCACGCAAAAUCUAACUCGUCCAUUAUUUGAUCGAUGUAAAAAAAUUUGGGAUUAAUGUUUUAAAAAUCGGACCGAUAAGCAAAUCAAAAAAGUAAUCGGUGGACGGGUCAUCAUUUCUGUUGUUGAGUUUAAUCGAAAUCGAAC
Molecule: non-coding RNA, 574 nt
Organism: Camellia sinensis
Lineage: Eukaryota; Viridiplantae; Streptophyta; Magnoliopsida; Ericales; Theaceae
Source: RefSeq, a predicted model, not a curated record